Molecule: unclassified non-coding RNA, 393 nt
Filed under: soil metagenome
Description: partial contains 5.8S ribosomal RNA, internal transcribed spacer 2, and large subunit ribosomal RNA
Rfam family: 5.8S ribosomal RNA (bases 1-122)
Source: RNAcentral
GAUGAAGAACGUAGCGAAAUGCGAUACUUGGUGUGAAUUGCAGAAUCCCGUGAACCAUCGAGUCUUUGAACGCAAGUUGCGCCCGAAGCCACUAGGCCGAGGGCACGCCUGCCUGGGCGUCACACGUCGUUGCCCCCCCCCCCAUCUACUCCUUCGGGAUUGCGGGGGGCGGAUGAUGGCCUCCCGUGCGCCUAGCCGCGCGGUUGGCAUAAAUACCAAGUCCUCGGCGACGCACGCCACGACAAUCGGUGGUUGCGAAACCUCGGUUGCCCGUCGUGUGCGUUCGUCGCGCAUCGAGGGCUCGAAAAAAUGCUCGGCUCCGGCUCGGCUUUCAACGCGACCCCAGGUCAGGCGGGGUUACCCGCUGAAUUUAAGCAUAUCAUAAGCGGAGGA